RNAcentral lists this long non-coding RNA (471 nucleotides) under Pan troglodytes (chimpanzee). RNAcentral describes it as "lncRNA (ENSPTRG00000054057.1)". The record is from RNAcentral. Lineage: Eukaryota; Metazoa; Chordata; Mammalia; Primates; Hominidae.
GUACUACCCUGGGUUCCGGGCAGGGGUGGAACUGGAUUCUGCCUGGAUGGGGAUCGGAUGGGGGUGGAGGGCUCUUGGCAUCGUGUUUUCAGGGGCUGCCUCAGAUUGUGCAAAGAAGUGAAGUGGAAAAUUUCAAACUUUUAUUCUACCCAUUCUGUCAUCUACCGUGUAGGCCGGCUACAAACCUCCCCAACAUCCCUGCUGCUAACCCCCUCCAACCAACACUGCAAGUGUCAAACGCAAGUACCAGCUCAACACAGUCUUGAGUCUCACCCUGGGCUUUCCCUGUUUUGUUGCGUAGAUUUUGUUGCUGAUACUGGUUUUUUAUUUACUGUUUCCAUUCUGUAAUUUUCCAGGUUUGAUUUGGGAAGCAGAGCACAGCAGCCCAAAUUUGUUGUAAUGGCGGCGGCUACAGGUAAGGCACUAAAUUGUAAAUAAUUUAAGCUGAGUUUACAUUUUUACAGUGUUGUG